Molecule: ribosomal RNA, 152 nt
Filed under: Cortinarius fuscobovinaster
Lineage: Eukaryota; Fungi; Basidiomycota; Agaricomycetes; Agaricales; Cortinariaceae
Description: 5.8S ribosomal RNA
Rfam family: 5.8S ribosomal RNA
About the family: 5.8S ribosomal RNA (5.8S rRNA) is a component of the large subunit of the eukaryotic ribosome. It is transcribed by RNA polymerase I as part of the 45S precursor that also contains 18S and 28S rRNA.
Source: RNAcentral
AACUUUCAGCAACGGAUCUCUUGGCUCUCGCAUCGAUGAAGAACGCAGCGAAAUGCGAUAAGUAAUGUGAAUUGCAGAAUUCAGUGAAUCAUCGAAUCUUUGAACGCACCUUGYGCUCCUUGGUAUUCCGAGGAGCAUGCCUGUUUGAGUGU